This 414-nucleotide ribosomal RNA is filed under the name Pantoea sp. H6-17-l. RNAcentral's name for it is "bacterial SSU rRNA". It matches the Rfam family "Bacterial small subunit ribosomal RNA", at positions 237 to 643 of the family's 1533-position model. The record is from RNAcentral. Lineage: Bacteria; Pseudomonadati; Pseudomonadota; Gammaproteobacteria; Enterobacterales; Erwiniaceae.
GGGAUUAGCUAGUAGGUANGGUAAUGGCUUACCUAGGCGACGAUCCCUAGCUGGUCUGAGAGGAUGACCAGCCACACUGGAACUGAGACACGGUCCAGACUCCUACGGGAGGCAGCAGUGGGGAAUAUUGCACAAUGGGCGCAAGCCUGAUGCAGCCAUGCCGCGUGUAUGAAGAAGGCCUUCGGGUUGUAAAGUACUUUCAGUCAGGAGGAAGGGUGUGAAAUUAAUACUUUCAUGCAUUGACGUUACUGACAGAAGAAGCACCGGCUAACUCCGUGCCAGCAGCCGCGGUAAUACGGAGGGUGCAAGCGUUAAUCGGAAUUACUGGGCGUAAAGCGCACGCAGGCGGUUUGUUAAGUCAGAUGUGAAAUCCCCGGGCUCAACCUGGGAACUGCNUUUGAAACUGGNAAGCUU